GACGAACGCUGGCGGCGUGCUUAACACAUGCGAGUCGAACGGAAAGGCCUGCUUUCCCUUGUGGAUUGCGGGUACUCGAGUGGCGAACGGGUGAGUAACACGUGAGUGAUCUGCCCCCAACUUGGGUAUAAGCCUGGGAAACUGGGUCUAAUUCCCGAUAGGACUGCAGGGUGGUGCCUGUGGUGGAAAACGAUUUUCUAGUGGUUGGGGAUGAGCUCGCGGCCUAUCAGCUUGUUGGUGGGGUAAUGGCCUACCAAGGCGGCGACGGGUGGCCGGCCUGAGAGGGUGGACGGCCACAUUGGGACUGAGAUACGGCCCAGACUCCUACGGGAGGCAGCAGUGGGGAAUAUUGCACAAUGGGCGGAAGCCUGAUGCAGCGACGCCGCGUGGGGGAUGACGGCCUUCGGGUUGUAAACUCCUUUCGACCGCGAGGAAGCCACCUGGUUGGAAGGGUGGUGACGGUAGUGGUAGAAGAAGCACCGGCUAACUACGUG
This 494-nucleotide ribosomal RNA is filed under the name uncultured bacterium. RNAcentral describes it as "partial 16S ribosomal RNA". It matches the Rfam family "Bacterial small subunit ribosomal RNA", at positions 28 to 507 of the family's 1533-position model. The record is from RNAcentral.